GACACAGCUUCCAGCAGCUCCUUCCUCCGAACAACGGCUUCUUUUUUACUGAGGAGAUGAAGGUGAAGAACCUUGAUGAUCUCUGGCAGCAGGUGAGCCGGGUCUCUGGGGCUCAGCAGGUACAACAGAACCUUUUUACCGUAUUUGUUGUUGAUGACCUCGUCCAGAGACGACAGGAUCUCCUGCACAGGAGUCAGACCACGUUCAGGGACCACAUUCAGAGACCAGAGACCACAGAUCAGUCUGAGGACUUCAUGAUAGAAAAACUGUAGUAUUAUAUUUUCUAAGUCCAUCAUUGUUCAACACAAUAAUAAACAUGUAAAUGAGACGUACCGACAAAA
Solea senegalensis (Senegalese sole) is the source of this 341-nucleotide long non-coding RNA. RefSeq lists it as uncharacterized. The transcript has 2 exons. The record is from RefSeq and is a predicted model, not a curated record. NCBI's taxonomy places the organism in Eukaryota, Metazoa, Chordata, Actinopteri, Pleuronectiformes, Soleidae.